UUUUUUUUAAACCUUGCAAGCAGACGACCCGUGAACAUGUAACCACAACGGGGUGACCGUGAUAAGGGCCUCGGUCCUUAUCCCCUAACCCUUCCCGACGUGAGUUCGUGGUGUCUUUUUUGGGGCAUCAUGGAUUCCGUUGGACCAUAACAAAACCCCGGCACGGUAUGUGCCAAGGAAAACAAAAAUGAGAAGGACACUACCUGUUUCGCCCCGUUUGCGGUGUGCGUACAGGUCGUGGCCUCCUUGGAAUCACAAACGACUCUCGGCAACGGAUAUCUCGGCUCACGCAUCGAUGAAGAACGUAGCAAAAUGCGAUACUUGGUGUGAAUUGCAGAAUCCCGUGAACCAUCGAGUUUUUGAACGCAAGUUGCGCCCGAAGCCAUCCGGCUGAGGGCACGCCUGCCUGGGCGUCACGCAUCGCGUCGCUCCCCACCAUACCUCCCCAACGGGUUGGCAUGGUGUUGGGGGCGGAUAAUGGCCUCCCGUGCUUGUGUUUCGGUUGGCCUAAAUAAGAGUUCCCUUCGGCGGACACACGACUAGUGGUGGUUGAAUAGACCCUCGUCUUUUGUUGCGUGUCGUGAGCUGUAAGGGUAGCCCUCAUCAAAGACCCCAUUGUAUCGUCUUCGGAUGAUGCUUCGACCGCGACCCCAGGUCAGGCGGGACUACCCGCUGAGUUUAAGCAUAUCAAUAAGGCGGAGGAA
This 704-nucleotide ribosomal RNA is filed under the name Lactuca sativa (garden lettuce). RNAcentral describes it as "eukaryotic LSU rRNA". The stretch from base 261 to 416 matches the Rfam family "5.8S ribosomal RNA". Lineage: Eukaryota; Viridiplantae; Streptophyta; Magnoliopsida; Asterales; Asteraceae. The record is from RNAcentral.